GCCUAACACAUGCAAGUCAGCGGUAACAGAUCCAGCUUGCUGGAUGCUGACGAGCGGCGGCGGGUGAGUAAUGCAUAGGAAUCUGCCCGAUAGUGGGGGAUAACCUGGGGAAACCCAGGCUAAUACCGCAUACGUCCUACGGGAGAAAGGGGGCUCCGGCUCCCGCUAUGGGAUGAGCCUAUGUCGGAUUAGCUGGUUGGUGAGGUAACGGCUCACCAAGGCCACGAUCCGUAGCUGGUCUGAGAGGAUGAUCAGCCACAUCGGGACUGAGACACGGCCCGAACUCCUACGGGAGGCAGCAGUGGGGAAUAUUGGACAAUGGGGGAAACCCUGAUCCAGCCAUGCCGCGUGUGUGAAGAAGGCCCUCGGGUUGUAAAGCACUUUCAGCGAGGAAGAACGCCUAACGGUUAAUACCCGCUAGGAAAGACAUCACUCGCAGAAGAAGCACCGGCUAACUCCGUGCCAGCAGCCGCGGUAAUACGGAGGGUGCAAGCGUUAAUCGGAAUUACUGGGCGUAAAGCGCGCGUAGGUGGAUUGAUAAGCCGGUUGUGAAAGCCCCGGGCUCAACCUGGGAACGGCAUCCGGAACUGUCAAGCUAGAGUGCAGGAGAGGAAGGUAGAAUUCCCGGUGUACGGUGAAAUGCGUAGAGAUC
Molecule: ribosomal RNA, 652 nt
Filed under: uncultured bacterium
Lineage: Bacteria
Description: bacterial SSU rRNA
Rfam family: Bacterial small subunit ribosomal RNA
Source: RNAcentral